UGCAAGUCGAACGAACUCUGGUAUUGAUUGGUGCUUGCAUCAUGAUUUACAUUUGAGUGAGUGGCGAACUGGUGAGUAACACGUGGGAAACCUGCCCAGAAGCGGGGGAUAACACCUGGAAACAGAUGCUAAUACCGCAUAACAACUUGGACCGCAUGGUCCGAGUUUGAAAGAUGGCUUCGGCUAUCACUUUUGGAUGGUCCCGCGGCGUAUUAGCUAGAUGGUGAGGUAACGGCUCACCAUGGCAAUGAUACGUAGCCGACCUGAGAGGGUAAUCGGCCACAUUGGGACUGAGACACGGCCCAAACUCCUACGGGAGGCAGCAGUAGGGAAUCUUCCACAAUGGACGAAAGUCUGAUGGAGCAACGCCGCGUGAGUGAAGAAGGGUUUCGGCUCGUAAAACUCUGUUGUUAAAGAAGAACAUAUCUGAGAGUAACUGUUCAGGUAUUGACGGUAUUUAACCAGAAAGCCACGGCUAACUACGUGCCAGCAGCCGCGGUAAUACGUAGGUGGCAAGCGUUGUCCGGAUUUAUUGGGCGUAAAGCGAGCGCAGGCGGUUUUUUAAGUCUGAUGUGAAAGCCUUCGGCUCAACCGAAGAAGUGCAUCGGAAACUGGGAAACUUGAGUGCAGAAGAGGACAGUGGAACUCCAUGUGUAGCGGUGAAAUGCGUAGAUAUAUGGAAGAACACCAGUGGCGAAGGCGGCUGUCUGGUCUGUAACUGACGCUGAGGCUCGAAAGUAUGGGUAGCAAACAGGAUUAGAUACCCUGGUAGUCCAUACCGUAAACGAUGAAUGCUAAGUGUUGGAGGGUUUCCGCCCUUCAGUGCUGCAGCUAACGCAUUAAGCAUUCCGCCUGGGGAGUACGGCCGCAAGGCUGAAACUCAAAGGAAUUGACGGGGGCCCGCACAAGCGGUGGAGCAUGUGGUUUAAUUCGAAGCUACGCGAAGAACCUUACCAGGUCUUGACAUACUAUGCAAAUCUAAGAGAUUAGACGUUCCCUUCGGGGACAUGGAUACAGGUGGUGCAUGGUUGUCGUCAGCUCGUGUCGUGAGAUGUUGGGUUAAGUCCCGCAACGAGCGCAACCCUUAUUAUCAGUUGCCAGCAUUAAGUUGGGCACUCUGGUGAGACUGCCGGUGACAAACCGGAGAAAGGUGGGGAUGACGUCAAAUCAUCAUGCCCCUUAUGACCUGGGCUACACACGUGCUACAAUGGAUGGUACAACGAGUUGCGAACUCGCGAGAGUAAGCUAAUCUCUUAAAGCCAUUCUCAGUUCGGAUUGUAGGCUGCAACUCGCCUACAUGAAGUCGGAAUCGCUAGUAAUCGCGGAUCAGCAUGCCGCGGUGAAUACGUUCCCGGGCCUUGUACACACCGCCCGUCACACCAUGAGAGUUUGUAACACCCAAAGUCGGUGGGGUAACCUUUUAGGAACCA
RNAcentral lists this ribosomal RNA (1430 nucleotides) under Lactiplantibacillus plantarum. RNAcentral's name for it is "bacterial SSU rRNA". It matches the Rfam family "Bacterial small subunit ribosomal RNA". The record is from RNAcentral. Lineage: Bacteria; Bacillati; Bacillota; Bacilli; Lactobacillales; Lactobacillaceae.